Molecule: ribosomal RNA, 524 nt
Filed under: uncultured bacterium
Lineage: Bacteria
Description: partial 16S ribosomal RNA
Rfam family: Bacterial small subunit ribosomal RNA
Source: RNAcentral
GACGAACGCUGGCGGCGUGCCCAAUACAUGCAAGUCGAGCGCAGGAAAUCGACGGAACCCUUCGGGGGGAAGUCGACGGAAUGAGCGGCGGACGGGUGAGUAACACGUAAAGAACCUGCCCUCAGGUCUGGGAUAACCACGAGAAAUCGGGGCUAAUACCGGAUGGGUCAUCGGACCGCAUGGUCCGAGGAUGAAAGGCGCUUCGGCGUCGCCUGGGGAUGGCUUUGCGGUGCAUUAGCUAGUUGGUGGGGUAAUGGCCCACCAAGGCGACGAUGCAAGUCCGACCGGAGAGGGUAAGCGGCCACACUGGGACUGAGACAAGGCCCAGACUCCUACGGGAGGCAGCAGUAGGGAAUCUUCCGCAAUGGACGAAAGUCUGAUGGAGCAACGCCGCGUGAACGAUGAAGGCCUUCGGGUCGUAAAGUUCUGUUGUAAGGGAAGAACAAGUGCCGCAGGCAAUGGCGGCACCUUGACGGUACCUUGCGAGAAAGCCACGGCUAACUACGUGCCAGCCGCCGCGGUAA